ACGGCUACCUUGUUACGACUUCACCCCAGUCAUCAAUCCCACCUUCGACGACGUCCUCCUUGCGGUUAGACUAUCGGCUUCGGGUGUUACCGACUCCCAUGGUGUGACGGGCGGUGUGUACAAGGCCCGGGAACGUAUUCACCGCAGCAUUCUGAUCUGCGAUUACUAGCAAUUCCGACUUCAUGCAGGCGAGUUUCAGCCUGCAAUCUGAACUGGGACAAUUUUUCGGGAUUUGCUCCACAUCACUGUUUUGCUUCCCUCUGUUAAUUGCCAUUGUAGUACGUGUGUAGCCCAGGUCAUAAGGGGCAUGAUGAUUUGACGUCAUCCCCACCUUCCUCCGUUUUGUCAACGGCAGUCCCUCUAGAGUGCUCUUGCGUAGCAACUAAAGGUAAGGGUUGCGCUCGUUGCGGGACUUAACCCAACAUCUCACGACACGAGCUGACGACAACCAUGCACCACCUGUCUAUAUGUCCCCGAAAGGAUUUCACCUAUCUCUAGGUUAUGCAUACGAUGUCAAGACCUGGUAAGGUUCUUCGCGUUGC
RNAcentral lists this ribosomal RNA (542 nucleotides) under uncultured bacterium. RNAcentral's name for it is "partial 16S ribosomal RNA". The record is from RNAcentral.